This 253-nucleotide ribosomal RNA is filed under the name uncultured bacterium. RNAcentral's name for it is "partial 16S ribosomal RNA". It matches the Rfam family "Bacterial small subunit ribosomal RNA", at positions 524 to 776 of the family's 1533-position model. The record is from RNAcentral.
UACGUAGGGUGCGAGCGUUGUCCGGAUUUAUUGGGCGUAAAGAGCUCGUAGGCGGUUUGUCGCGUCGGCCGUGAAAUCUCCACGCUUAACGUGGAGCGUGCGGUCGAUACGGGCAGACUUGAGUUCGGUAGGGGAGACUGGAAUUCCUGGUGUAGCGGUGAAAUGCGCAGAUAUCAGGAGGAAUACCGAUGGCGAAGGCAGGUCUCUGGGCUGACACUGACGCUCAUGCACGAAAGCGUGGGGGGCAAACAGG